This is a long non-coding RNA of Rosa chinensis, 362 nucleotides long. RefSeq lists it as uncharacterized. The record is from RefSeq and is a predicted model, not a curated record. NCBI's taxonomy places the organism in Eukaryota, Viridiplantae, Streptophyta, Magnoliopsida, Rosales, Rosaceae. The transcript has 2 exons.
UUCUUCUUCUUCUACCUCUCAUUUACUUCUUCUUGCUGGUUUGGCCUCUAAGAUGGUGAUAUUCUGUUUUCUUCUAAAUGACGGGCUUCCAAGUCCUCCACUGGAUUUGGAAUGGGGAUGCAGUCAGGUUCUGCGUGAAGCCUCAAAUAGGAUGUGUGCAAGUCAAUCAGAAUCAAAUAGCCCAGCAAUAUAGCCCUGUGAAGCGAAAACAAUAAGGCAAUCAGAGGCCAAAAUGUUUAGGAGCUGAGGGAUCUUAUCAAGUUGUUUCUUUCUUUUAAACACAGGGUACUUUUGGAUUGUUUUUGUAUUUAAUGUAUUGAUUUAAACUCAUAGAAUUUUAGAAGACAAAAGUGUUCCUUGUA